Molecule: ribosomal RNA, 460 nt
Filed under: uncultured bacterium
Lineage: Bacteria
Description: partial 16S ribosomal RNA
Rfam family: Bacterial small subunit ribosomal RNA
Source: RNAcentral
CCUACGGGAGGCAGCAGUGAGGAAUAUUGGUCAAUGGCCGGAAGGCUGAACCAGCCAUGCCGCGUGAAGGUCAGUGCCCUAUGGGCGUUAAACUUCUUUUGUGCGGGAGCAAUAAUGGUCACGUGUGGCCAGACGAGAGUACCGUACGAAUAAGCAUCGGCUAACUCCGUGCCAGCAGCCGCGGUAAUACGGGGGAUGCAAGCGUUAUCCGGAUUUAUUGGGUUUAAAGGGUGCGUAGGCUGGGAGGUAAGUCAGCGGUGAAAUGCCCCAGGUCAACGGGGUGAAGUGCCAUUGAUACUGCCUGGCUGGAAUGCGGAUGCGGUAGGAGGAAUGUGUGGUGUAGCGGUGAAAUGCAUAGAUAUCACACAGAACACCGAUUGCGAAGGCAUCUCACGAAUCCGCGAUUGACGCUGAUGCACGAAAGCGUGGGUAUCAAACAGGAUUAGAUACCCGUGUAGUC